This 483-nucleotide ribosomal RNA is filed under the name uncultured bacterium. RNAcentral's name for it is "partial 16S ribosomal RNA". It matches the Rfam family "Bacterial small subunit ribosomal RNA", at positions 29 to 523 of the family's 1533-position model. The record is from RNAcentral.
AACGAACGCUGGCGGCGUGCUUAACACAUGCAAGUCGAACGUGAUUGGAGAGCUUGCUCUCCAUGAAAGUGGCGAACGGGUGAGUAACGCGUGAACAACCUGACUCUCAGAGGGGGAUAACACUCGGAAACGGGUGCUAAUACCGCAUAAGACCACGACCCGGCAUCGGGAUGAGGUCAAAGGAGCAAUCCGCUGAGAGAGGGGUUCGCGUCCCAUUAGAUAGAUGGCGGGGUAACGGCCCACCAUGUCGACGAUGGGUAGCCGAGCUGAGAGGCUGAUCGGCCACACUGGAACUGAGACACGGUCCAGACUCCUACGGGAGGCAGCAGUGGGGAAUAUUGGGCAAUGGGCGCAAGCCUGACCCAGCAACGCCGCGUGAGGGAAGAAGGCUUUCGGGUUGUAAACCUCUGUCCUUGGUGACGAAACAAAUGACGGUAGCCAAGGAGGAAGCCCCGGCUAACUACGUGCCAGCAGCCGCCGUAA